This 502-nucleotide long non-coding RNA is filed under the name Phoenix dactylifera (date palm). Its description in RNAcentral is "long non-coding RNA (PDAC_LNC004584)". Lineage: Eukaryota; Viridiplantae; Streptophyta; Magnoliopsida; Arecales; Arecaceae. The record is from RNAcentral.
UGCUCCUAACAAACUUUGGAUCAGGAGGAUGAGUUCCUCCGAACAUUACUUUUAUUUUUUCUCAAAAAAAAAUAAUUGGCCAACUCAUCUGAAAUGACGCUCACAAUGGCCAUCAAUGGGCCUUAUUUGCAAUAAAAAUUCUCCAUUUCAGUAUUGAACUCCAUACCAUUACUAUACUAGCACUAAUAUAGUACGAAAAUUUUCGAAUAUCGAUUCGUCAUCUAUACCAAAUAUAGAUACCAAAUCGGUAUAAUACGAUAUAACUCAUAUUGUUCGCUGGGACAGCAUACCAUACUUUCAAUUAAAAAAUAUUAACAUAAAAAAUAUAUAGAAGACCAUUUUUCCUUUUCCUCUCUAGAUUUGAAGAGAGUUAGGAGGAGGCCAGAGUCUUUUCACACCCACAGGCAUAGGCAUGAGGCUUCCAAAGAGAUGGUCGCAGGAUGCAAUUCCUUAAAACCAAGUUAACAGCGAUAGAAUGAUCACACUGCUUUCGAAGUACGGG